Long non-coding RNA from Rhea pennata, 462 nucleotides. RefSeq lists it as uncharacterized. Lineage: Eukaryota; Metazoa; Chordata; Aves; Rheiformes; Rheidae. The transcript is spliced from 4 exons. The record is from RefSeq and is a predicted model, not a curated record.
UGGGAGGAUGCAGAAGACAGCCAACAUGAGUGCACAGAACUGGAAGUAGCUACCAGCAAGAGCCGCUCAUAGGGAAAGGCAGUGGCUGUUUACCUGCUUUGCUCAGCCAGACCAGGCGAGGACAGAGAGAACAGUUAAAUGGUUCGCCUUCAUCAAAAUGGACCAUAUUUAUUCCUGUUAGACUGGAGCUGGAGAGAGAGGAAGGAUUCCUGUUGGCAUUCCCAUUGGUAGAAGUUGGAUCUUCCUCUAAACAUAAGGAUCUGGAUCACAUCUGUUAGCAGGACUAAAAGCAGUGCUAUGUCAAGAUUGUGUAACCACCACGGAUUUGCAAAUGCUAAGCACAGACCCACUUCUCCAGCAGAAGACAGUGACAUGACCCAAAUGGAAGCACAAGCUUCAUAUGGCUACAUUCAAUGAGCAGGUCUUCAUGGGUGAAUUGUGAUCCCCCCAGAAAGGUUACGA